GACGAACGCUGGCGGCGUGCCUAAUACAUGCAAGUAGAACGCUGAAGGAGGAGCUUGCUUCUCCGGAUGAGUUGCGAACGGGUGAGUAACGCGUAGGUAACCUGCCUGGUAGCGGGGGAUAACUAUUGGAAACGAUAGCUAAUACCGCAUAAGAGUAGAUGUCGCAUGACAUUUGCUUAAAAGGUGCAACUGCACCACUACCAGAUGGACCUGCGUUGUAUUAGCUAGUUGGUGAGGUAACGGCUCACCAAGGCAACGAUACAUAGCCGACCUGAGAGGGUGAUCGGCCACACUGGGACUGAGACACGGCCCAGACUCCUACGGGAGGCAGCAGUAGGGAAUCUUCGGCAAUGGACGGAAGUCUGACCGAGCAACGCCGCGUGAGUGAAGAAGGUUUUCGGAUCGUAAAGCUCUGUUGUAAGAGAAGAACGAGUGUGAGAGUGGAAAGUUCACACUGUGACGGUAUCUUACCAGGAAGGGACGGCUAACUACGUG
RNAcentral lists this ribosomal RNA (495 nucleotides) under uncultured bacterium. RNAcentral's name for it is "partial 16S ribosomal RNA". It matches the Rfam family "Bacterial small subunit ribosomal RNA", at positions 28 to 507 of the family's 1533-position model. The record is from RNAcentral.